Molecule: ribosomal RNA, 175 nt
Filed under: uncultured Geobacillus sp.
Lineage: Bacteria; Bacillati; Bacillota; Bacilli; Caryophanales; Anoxybacillaceae
Description: partial 16S ribosomal RNA
Rfam family: Bacterial small subunit ribosomal RNA
Source: RNAcentral
CCACGACGUGCUACAAUGGCCGGUAACAAGUGGGGCUAGGCGAUGACCCGCGAGGGGGAGCGAAUCCCAAAAAGCCGCUCUCAGUUCGGAUUGCAGGCUGCAACUCGCCUGCAUGAAGCCGGAAUCGCUAGUAAUCGCGGAUCAGCAUGCCGCGGUGAAUACGUUCCCGGGCCUU